GAUGAACGCUAGCGGCAGGCCUAAUACAUGCAAGUCGGACGGGAUUCAGGAGCUUGCUUCUGAUGAGAGUGGCGCACGGGUGCGUAACACGUAUGUAACCUACCUUUAUCAGGGGGAUAGCCUCUCGAAAGAGAGAUUAAGCCCGCAUAAAAUCACAGCACAGCAUUGUGUAAUGAUCAAAUAUUUAUAGGAUAAAGAUGGGCAUGCGGAACAUUAGCUAGAUGGCGGGGUAACGGCCCACCAUGGCGACGAUGUUUAGGGGAUCUGAGAGGAUGGCCCCCGAGACUGGUACUGAGACAAGGACCAGAGUCCUACGGGAGGCAGCAGUAAGGAAUAUUGGUCAAUGGGCGGAAGCCUGAACCAGCCAUGCCGCGUGCAGGAAGACGGCGCUACGGGUUGUAAACUGCUUUUAUACGGGAAUAAACCCAGAUACGUGUAUCUGGCUGAAUGUACUGUAAGAAUAAGGAUCGGCUAACUCCGUG
This 482-nucleotide ribosomal RNA is filed under the name uncultured bacterium. RNAcentral's name for it is "partial 16S ribosomal RNA". It matches the Rfam family "Bacterial small subunit ribosomal RNA", at positions 28 to 507 of the family's 1533-position model. The record is from RNAcentral.